RNAcentral lists this ribosomal RNA (429 nucleotides) under Gemmatimonadota bacterium. Its description in RNAcentral is "Gemmatimonadetes bacterium partial 16S ribosomal RNA". It matches the Rfam family "Bacterial small subunit ribosomal RNA", at positions 355 to 776 of the family's 1533-position model. The record is from RNAcentral. Lineage: Bacteria; Pseudomonadati; Gemmatimonadota.
UAGGGAAUCUUCGGCAAUGGACGAAAGUCUGACCGAGCAACGCCGCGUGAGUGAAGAAGGUUUUCGGAUCGUAAAACUCUGUUGUUAGAGAAGAACAAGGACGUUAGUAACUGAACGUCCCCUGACGGUAUCUAACCAGAAAGCCACGGCUAACUACGUGCCAGCAGCCGCGGUAAUACGUAGGUGGCAAGCGUUGUCCGGAUUUAUUGGGCGUAAAGCGAGCGCAGGCGGUUUCUUAAGUCUGAUGUGAAAGCCCCCGGCUCAACCGGGGAGGGUCAUUGGACACUGGGCGACUUGAGUGCAGAAGAGGAGAGUGGACUUCCAUGUGUAGCGGUGAAAUGCGUAGAUAUAUGGAGGAACACCAGUGGCGAAGGCGGCUCUCUGGUCUGUAACUGACGCUGAGGCUCGAAAGCGUGGGGAGCAAACAGG